AUUUUUGUAGAGAUGGAGUCUCCCUAUGUUGCCCAGGCUGAUCUUGUACUCCUGGGCUUAAGCAAUCCUCCCUCUUAGGCCUCCCAAAGUCCUGCGAUUACAGGCAUGAGCCACCAUGCCAAGCCCCUUCUUUUUAUUAAUCUCAUCUCUAACCACAGUCUCAACUCCACAACCAUACACUGUAUACUUAUUCUUCAAUGAAUGUCACAUCUUUUCUUUCUCUGAGUUUUUACAUAAUGUUUAUUCUUCUCAGAAUGACACUCUCUUUUCUCUUCUUCUUUCUUUAAAACCUGCCUGAAAGCUUACCUCCUUAAGAAGACCUUGACCGCUUUCCCUAGGAAGAGCUCAUUUUCCACCUCUCUGCUGGCUUCAACACCUUAUAACAACUAGAUAUGUAACAUUUAUCACAUUGUACAGUGAUUAUUUGGGUUUUUUUUUUUUUGCCAACACAUCAGAGGAUUUCAAGCUAUUGUUUUAAGCCAUUCAAAAUUAUUCAAUGAACAUUUGUGGAAGCCCCAAAUAUAAACUAUAAGUAAAUGGUUUUUUCAACUGAGGCAGGGAUAAGUGUUUUAUUAUCCCUCUAGAAUUUCCUCAGAGACGAAUCCAAAAUGAUCCCAAGUUGGCAUCAUCUGCAGUCCAAAAUGAUACAUUAAUAAAAUAUACAUCAUGAAUUCAGUACUGGUAGAAGUGAAAUUACUUCCCAACACAGCCAUUCUUUUUGUUUUAUUUUUAAUUUUUAUUUUAAGUAAAAAAAAAAGUAAAAAGUUUUUUUUUUCUUUUUACUUUUAUUCAGGGGAACAUGUGCAGGUUUGUUAUAUAGGUAAAUUGCACAUCACAGGGGUUUGAUAUACAUAUUAUUUCAUCACCCAGUUAAUAAGCACGGCACUUGAUUGGUAGCUUUUUGAACAUCACCAUCCUUCCACACUCCACCCUUGAGUAAGCCCUGGUGUCUAUUGUUUCCUUCUUUGGGUCCAUAUGUACUCAGUGUUUAGCUCCCACUUAUAAGUGGGCACAUGUGGUAUUUGGUUUUCCGUUUCUGUGCUAGUUCGCUGUAGGUAAUGACCUCCAGUUGCAUCCAUGUUCCUCAAAAAGAGUUCUCCUCCCUCUUGGUCUCUCCAACAUCUGAGUUACCAUUGAGGAAUUUGUUGACCAUCAUCGUUUCUUGCCGCCUUGCUGCAAUUGCCUCCAACAUGUUCUCUUUGCCUCUGGUCUUUUUAUUCUCCAAUACAACCUCCACAGUGAUUCUAAAUUGAAUCCAUGUGAUCAGCAUAAAUUUGGAUAAGUUUCUUUCACUUCCAAGCUUUGGUUUUCUCGUUUUUAAAAUCAUGCCUCUUAACUAGAUACUCUCAAAGGGCGAUUCAGCUCUGAAAGUUUCCAAACAUUCCUGGAGAUUGAGCUUUCGGAAAAAAUGAGCAAAUCUCUCAUCUCCUUUGGAAGAUGAGCAUGAUUUUGAAAUGUUUCAUCUGAAGUCAGCUUGUACAUGAAAAUCUCACUUUAAAUGUUAAUGGUACUCUUGCUUGGAGUCUUUCUGCUUAAUCUCUGAAGUCAUCUCAUGUGUUUGUGGGACAGAAUCAACGGAGUCUCAGGGUAAAGUCAUUGAUGACGAGUGGCAGAAAUUCAGCUUGCAGUGAAUGUAAUUUCAAUCUCUUCUUGCUAAACGUAAGCCUUUGUCAUCAGAAUGUCUGAACUGGCCGUGUGUCCCUGGGAAACACAUGCAAAUUCUUAUUGUCUCAGUUUCUGCACCAUGCCUUGGGUCUGUCACUCCUGACUUCCAAGGAGUUCAGAUUGUUUUCACACAUGUUAUCCAGUUUAUGCUCCUGACAUAUGUGUUUCCACUGUAAACAACUGUGCAUGAAAAGAGAAAGAAAGAAAAUGACAGUUGUUGACUUUCCACUGGAAAGGAUGGGGUAAACUACAACAAAGACAUUGUCAUUUAGAAGAAGUAAAAAGAGCUCUUGGACUACUUGUGCUAAAGCGUUUCCACUUGGAAAUGGCAGCUGCAGGCCAGAUGGUCAUUUGUGGGCAGAUAGAGCUGGGAAACUAAGCAUGGCUUGUGAUGAGAAAGAGAAGAAAAUACAAAAACAAAACUUGCUUUCCUUUGGAAAAUAUUGCCUCAGCCUGCUGAGGGAAUUUACCUCAUCAGUAACCACAGUCAAAGUGAUUUUGAAUAUGAAGAUGAGCCUCCUACUUCUUAUCCUCAAACAACAGCAACAACAACAAAAAACCUGUGGAUUCCCUGUAGUGCUCCUAUUUCUGGCACUAAGCCAGGUGAUGAGUUGUCUUCAAUGACAACAUAACUCAAAGACAAGAUGAUAUUAGGAUUCAAAGGUUUUCAUCUAUGAAGAUUUGGUUUACAUAAAGGAAACAUUUUUUAGGAGACUUACACUUUUUUUCAAGGCCGCAAUUGUUGGCCUUACCUUCAUGAUGCAGACUCCCUUAUUUUAGAGUUCCUUAAGGCCAAGCACCCUGUCUUAGUCACUUUUGUAGGGCUGACACUUGCUAUGUGUUCAACAGAUGGUGUGUGUGUGUGUGUGUGUGUGUGUUUGUGUGUGUGUGUAUUGACGAGAGAGAGAAACAACAAAACAAAUGAAGGAGAAGGGAAAGUGGAGAAGAGGGCAAGAAGGGUAUGGGACAUAGAAGAAGGAGGGAGCAAAGGAAUGAAGAAGGCAGAACAGAGCAUGAAAACAGAAGCCAGGUAGAAGCACAAACUUUUCAAUAGAUGGCAACAGGGGAAAGUUUCAGCCUCCUCAGCAGAUGAUUAAAGAACAAGUGGACAGCUGCAGCUUUCAGAGGCUAUCAAGACAGAUGACCAUUGUAUACACAUGAGUCCCAGGAACUGUGGAGUACAGGGCUGUAGAACAAGAAGAAAAGUCCUGAAUGGGCCUCAGCCUUAUACCUGAAUUGACUGAAAUUACCUGGAAGUGGCUAGAUCAAGUGAUCUGUGGCUAGAAGAAUGGAGAGUCAGGAUAGAAAGUCGGUUAUAGGAAAAGUAAAGCCAGUUUUCGCAUACUUGAAGUUUUAACAUAAGCUACAUGCUCCACAAAGUGCUUUCCAUUUAAUUCAUUUGGUCAAGUAUUUGUUGAGAGCCCAAUAUGAUAUCUGAAAAGCCAUAUUCCUAUCAUGUGUAAAAUUUUCUUGCUUUGACUUUGAAAUUAAAUUGACCAGGGGCCCUCUCAAUGGUGAUUAAGAUAUCACUUUUCUAAAGAUAGGAUCUUGAAGAGAAAAAUCUCUCAAAUACUUUCCAGCUAUAGGGAU
RNAcentral lists this long non-coding RNA (3255 nucleotides) under Homo sapiens (human). Its description in RNAcentral is "HSALNT0173226". Lineage: Eukaryota; Metazoa; Chordata; Mammalia; Primates; Hominidae. The record is from RNAcentral.